AUUGGCAAAAGGAAGCAAGAGUCUUGGGAGGUUUACCAUCAGGAGGAUGACAAAUGUUCGACGUAGUUGACAAUCCGGAAUUGUCUCCACCACGUCUCAUACACGCAAGAUCAUUUGUUAUCCACAAGAUCAAGUUCCUCCUUCUAACUUUAAAUGCCGAACACAGAUCCCCUGUCCAUCCAUUCACAGACUUCAGACACCUGCAAGAGAGACCUUAGGAGAGGAAAGAAACCUUUUCCAGCUGAGCCGGACUACCUUAACCCCACUGUUACUCUGAAUUGAUUUGUACGUGUGAAAAAGGAAACUGACAUGGCCGGAGGAAUGCUGUUCUUCCUGCUUUUGGCACUGACCAUUCUGGCUGGAGCCUCUAGCCAGGGCACAACAGUAGCCGCAACCACCACAACAGCAGCCUGAUUAAUAAUAUGAGAAACAUACCACUAUUUCGGGAGCAAUAAACUAUGUUGUCUCGCUUUCAGGGACCCAUACAUUUUUAUAAAACUUCUGAUGCAAAAAAAUCUUGUUCUGAUGCAAAAAAAAAGGGUGCUAAUAUUCAGUUAAAACAAAACCGCUGGCAUUAUUUUAUCAGCUGUGGGCGUUUUCAUUGCCAUAACAAUGUGAGCUAAUCAACAAGUACAACAUGUUCUAGACCAGUGGCUCUCAAUUAUUUUCUGUCAUUCCCACCCUAGGAGACAGAGAUCAUUUUUUGCGCCUUCCCUGAAUUGAAAUAGCCUACUAUUGAGAACCUGCUAAUAUUUAUUUAUUUUUUGUCAGCUUCAUCAGCUUAUUCCCUUUCAAAAAAAAUAAUAUAUGUUCUUCUUUCAAGCAUGAAUAAAGACACCAAGUCCCUCUGUCAUGACUUUGUACGAUCAAAAUUCUUGUAAAACUUCUGACCCUUGGUAUUAUGUUUAUUUAAAUUAAAAUAAGUAACUUAUUAAAAUAAAUCAAUUUUAUAAGCUGAGGGCGUUUUCAUGAGCCUCAUAGUAUUAGAAGAUGUGGUACUUGUUGAUUAGCUCAGUUGUUAUGGCAAUGAAUAAGCCCUCUGCUGAUAAAAUAAUGCCAGCGUCUUUUUUCAACUGAAAAUUAACACCCGUGUCAACUUUUUCUGCUCCUUGCACCUUAUCAUGCUUAUCAUGUUACGCAGAAUUACUAGCCCCUGCCGACUAAAAAAUUAAACAAUUCAAGAGGCGGCAUAGUUAGAAUCGCCUUGUGGUCAACUGUCAUUUAAUAGUCAUCUGACAAAUUAUGUCAAGGUUUUAAAAUGAUUAUUAUCAUUAUUAGCUGGUCAUGUUAUAACACAGCUGGUAAUCGUGGAUUUUCUGAUAAAGACUAGCAAGCCUUUUUGACAGACAAAACAGCAGAAACUAGCUUAAGUGUGCUCGGGCUGCCUUUUUGGUUUUGUCAAACAGGAGACGCCCACCCACCAAUCAGAGGUUAGAGAUUCCUGCAGGAAGGUUGCGCUCGAUUUCACUAGCCCAUUUGUGCCUGUUCAUUAGUGUACAGCAUCUAUUCUCUCAU
Long non-coding RNA from Gadus macrocephalus (Pacific cod), 1515 nucleotides. RefSeq lists it as uncharacterized. The transcript has 2 exons. Lineage: Eukaryota; Metazoa; Chordata; Actinopteri; Gadiformes; Gadidae. The record is from RefSeq and is a predicted model, not a curated record.